Molecule: microRNA, 23 nt
Filed under: Bos taurus (domestic cattle)
Lineage: Eukaryota; Metazoa; Chordata; Mammalia; Artiodactyla; Bovidae
Description: bta-miR-2285aa
Source: miRBase by way of RNAcentral
AAAACUGGAACGAACUUUUGGGC